UAGCCGUAAACGAUACUCGCUAGGUGUCGGCCACGGUGCGACCGUUGUCGGUGCCGUAGGGAAGCCGUGAAGCGAGCCACCUGGGAAGUACGGCCGCAAGGCUGAAACUUAAAGGAAUUGGCGGGGGAGCACCACAACGGGUGGAGCUUGCGGUUAAUUGGAUUCAACGCCGGACAACUCACCAGGAGCGACGGUUACAUGAAGGCCAGGCUGAUGACCUUGCCUGAUUUUCCGAGAGGAGGUGCAUGGCGUAGUCGUGU
Molecule: ribosomal RNA, 260 nt
Filed under: uncultured archaeon
Lineage: Archaea
Description: partial 16S ribosomal RNA
Rfam family: Archaeal small subunit ribosomal RNA
Source: RNAcentral